GUCCACGCCCUAAACGAUGUCAACUGGUUGUUGGGUCUUCACUGACUCAGUAACGAAGCUAACGCGUGAAGUUGACCGCCUGGGGAGUACGGCCGCAAGGUUGAAAACUCAAAGGAAUUGACGGGGACCCGCACAAGCGGUGGAUGAUGUGGUUUAAUUCGAUGCAACGCGAAAAACCUUACCCACCUUUGACAUGUAUGGAAGCCUUUAGAGAUAGAGGUGUGCUCGAAAGAGAGCCAUAACACAGGUGCUGCAUGGCUGUCGU
This 265-nucleotide ribosomal RNA is filed under the name uncultured bacterium. Its description in RNAcentral is "partial 16S ribosomal RNA". It matches the Rfam family "Bacterial small subunit ribosomal RNA", at positions 793 to 1055 of the family's 1533-position model. The record is from RNAcentral.